This 433-nucleotide ribosomal RNA is filed under the name uncultured bacterium. RNAcentral describes it as "partial 16S ribosomal RNA". It matches the Rfam family "Bacterial small subunit ribosomal RNA", at positions 29 to 507 of the family's 1533-position model. The record is from RNAcentral.
AACGAACGCUGGCGGCAUGCCUAACACAUGCCAGUCGAACGAGACCUUCGGGUCUAGUGGCGCACGGGUGCGUAACGCGUGGGAACCUGCCCUUAGGUUCGGAAUAACUCCCCGAAAGGGGUGCUAAUACCGGAUAAUGUCUUCGGACCAAAGAUUUAUCGCCUUUGGAUGGGCCCGCGUUGGAUUAGCUAGUUGGUAGGGUAAAAGCCUACCAAGGCGACGAUCCAUAGCUGGUCUGAGAGGAUGAUCAGCCACACUGGGACUGAGACACGGCCCAGACUCCUACGGGAGGCAGCAGUGGGUAAUAUUGGACAAUGGGCGGAAGCCUGAUCCAGCAAUGCCGGGUGAGUGAUGAAGGCCUUAGGGUUGUAAAGCUCUUUUACCCGGGAUGAUAAUGACAGUACCGGGAGAAUAAGCUCCGGCUAACUCCGUG